GUUUGAACUUGGCUGUAGGUAGCGAGGAGGAGGGCUUAAGAGGGAAAACGUUUUGAGAAGAAAGAAAGAGAGUGCGUGCUGGCAGAGAAAAGAGGCAGUGCGUGGUAAGAAGUUGAGUUCUCAAGACGUGUGUAAAGUUGCGCUCCAGCCAAGCAAAAGUAAUUGUUAGUACACGUAGACUUUAAGUGAUUAUAGUAAUAAUUAGUGAUCCAAAUCAUUGUUGUAACUGUAGUAAAUAGUGAGUUUGAAUAAAAACCAGUGAUUUAGUUAAAGUGCACUGAUCCUGGGACCUUUGUUGACCUUAUUUCUACAGGAGUUGCAACGUGAGAGAAAGGACAUGUUACAUCAUCAUCAAGUAAGUCAUCGGUCAAGUCGUGUUAGUUUGCCGUGAAUUGGUGUUUCGAUUCGAGUCAUAGUUGGAAGAGAACCGGCACCACAGGCACCACUUGCACCACCACCACACGGACCUGGUGCACCACACAGCACCACCACCACUUGCACCACACGUGGAACCAAUUAACCACCAACCAGUCAAAAUCAAGGAAACCCUUACGAAGCGGAAGUCACGUGGGAUUUACGACCCCACACAAAGAUAAGUGAGCUUCAGUGAGCCGCUCCGUAACAGUUCUCAUUAAUUAAAAAUGUUCUCUUAAAGUGGAGAAAUGCUCCCCUUCAACCAAUCUGGACGUGAGAUCGCUUUCCAGCUCAUCGUUCUGGGAAUGAUCUGAGGGUACGGAUAAAAUGGUAGAACUUAUGGAUACAACUUACCCCCCAUAUGUGAAGAAGGUCCAGAAAACUUUUAUAAUGCUUUAUCAUCCUCGCUUAUCAUACAAGUUUUUAAGAGAAAAAUAUAAAAAAAUUAGCUCCGUCAAUAAUGCGUAUUUUGUAGUAGGGUUAGAAUAUUUCCUUCCAUUUUUUAUUGUAUUCAAUACAUAAGUAUUUUAUGAGCACGGUUACCAGAAUUGCCAUUAACUUUCUUAGGGGAAUGAACGAGAAUAUUUAGAAAGGAUAUUUUAUAUAAAUUUGAUAACUGUAGGUUUUUUGCAAGUAUUACCAUAAUUUGUUUUUAUAAAAUAAAUUUUUAGGAACUUUUUAUUGUUCUAAAUAUGAAAAAUUAAGUACAAAUUCAGAGAUAUAAGCUUAAGGAAAUGUAGUUAACGGACGCAUGAGAGUAGUACUGUGACAGUACCGACAGUAUCGAUAAUAUACCCGGAGAACAUAUUUAAUUGUAUUACAUUCAAAAACAAAUCUGCGCAUGAAUGAUUAUGAUUACGAAACAAAUUUCUUUGCAUUUAAUAUUUAUAUAAUGAAAAUUCGGACGAAUGUUUGCCCAUGAAUAAUAUUGGCGUCAGUUUAUGAAGUAAAUAAAAAUUUAGAUCUUCUCCAAAUUCAAGCGGAAUCUUAAACAACUCCUUGUUCUAACAAACUCCCCGCUUCGAUCGCCCAAACUAUCUUGCAUGUCACAGUGCCCCGUAAUAUAGCAGAGCCGAUACGAGUUAUCUGUACCGUGGAUAAUAAAUCCUUCCGGGGAUGGCCGGGUUGUGUUCAAAGUUUCUGUGCUUUCCGAGCUGUUGUCUUCGUCCAUCUUGAAAAUGAUGGGGGUCUGACUGUCCGAUGUUGCUGUCCACUUGAGUGAGACGUCAUUUUCGAAAAAAUCUUUGACGUAAAUAUCGAAAGAAUAUGUUUUGUCUAAAGUGUUUCUGUCUCUUCUAUGGAUCUCUUGUAGAGAAAGAUUAAUUUGCUGGGUUCUGUACACCUAUACAAAAAUGUAUUUAGGCUGCCAAGUUUGUGAUAAAUUUUAUUCCAUUUUGUAAGAAAUUCAUUACUAGUGCACACUUUUUUUUGUUUACAUUGUACAAAUAUGUAUUAGGGUAAAUUAAUGUAAAUGUAACUCUAAAUACCUUGCCAUCUUUCCAAAUCCACGUUUCAUCCUUCUUACCGCUAUGGACCUUCGCCCCCAUAGGAUCCGUUGCCAGGUUUGGUCUCCAAAUGGUCAUCUCUCGAUUUUGAUCAGUUCUUUUGAUCAAAUUAAAAUUCAUGACGGGACUUCCUGGUUCUAGGAGAUAUUAAAAAUUUAUGAAAAGUCUUUCUGAAUUUUUUGUCUUAAUAAUUUUUAAAACGUUUAAACAUACAGCGUGGUCCAUUAAUUCGAUCACCUCCUAGAUUUUACGUUUUUGGGGCGGUUAUUUUUAAAUAACUUUGGAGUGUGACGGAUAAUGAAUCCAAUUUUUUUCCCAUGAUGAGUCCAAAUAGUAAGCUAUCAAAAAUCGAAAUCCGAAUUAAAAUCCAAACAUUUUUGGCUGAACGGCAAGGGGUCAUAGGGAAUCCACAAUAACUUGGAGUUCACCGAAAUACCGUGUGGAUAUGGAAAAACUGAAAUUUUUUUGUGGACAAACCGAUUUCUACUCGACCAACAUAGCUCUCCCCUACAAUAAAAAUAUGAUCAAGACCCGAUUAUACCUAAAAACGGACAGUUUUGUGAGAAAGUGUGUCAAGACCUAAAACUUAGCCUUCCGGUUUAUUAGGAAAACCAACACAAUUAGCCGAUCAACAGUCAGCUAACAUCUUAAAUUGACAGGAUGUGGUAGUAUAUCUUUCAAGAGAUAUAAAAAACCGCUACUGAGGCAAAAAUAUUUCAGAUCGACUAAUAAUCAAGACAUUUGUGGAUCAAAAUGGGUAUUUGUCAGGUGGGAAACGAGGUGCCAAAAAGUGGUCAAAUAUUCUGUAUACUGACGGGUUGAGGAUGCAAAUUUACCCUAAACAAGGUCCUCAGAAGCAUCCAGAAGAAAAAAGGGCAUUCCAUAAACGUUAACACCUAAAAACUGAUUGAAGAUCAUGGUUGCAGGUAACUUCUGUUCACGCGGAGUUACCGAAUUACAUAUUGUCCCUGGUGGCGCUAGUUUCACUGGACAGUAUUAUCGUAAUGAAAGCUUUCUUAUUUAUUUGGAUACACUAGAUUAUAGAAAGUCAUUCCCAAGCAAGAAAAAAAUUACAUUUAUGCAACAUAGUGCUCCAGCUCACAUAGCAAAGGCGACAAUGCGCUUUUGGAGGAGCGAGAAACAACCACUUGGGGAAACGGGGUGUGACCCGGAAACAAUCCAAAUUUGAAACCACUGGAGAACUUGUGACCUAUACUGAAAAGUUCAAUAUAUGAGAACCCAAAACUAACCAGCAGACAGGUGAUAUUCAAAAGGGUUCAAAAAAUGUGGAAAUCUCCACCCGUUUCACUUUUGGAAAAUCUGGCUCGGAGUUUCAAAAAACGAAUCGGGGACAUGAUGAGUGUCAAUGGAGGACACACCAGAUACUAGGUAACAAGUAAAUGAUGGGAAAACAUUAUCUAGAAAGAUUGUUCCAAAAAAUCCGACGCUGAAACAUUUGAUACUAGGGAGGUGAUCGAAUUAACGGACCACGCUGUAAUAGUUUUCAGGAAAGGUCAAGUUCGUUAAAAUUUAAAGAUACCCAAUUAUGAACUCUCUCGUGUUGAAGGUAUUAAGAUAUCGAAAAGCUAAUCCUCAGCCUAGCAGAAGCUUUGGUAACUUAAAAAUUUAAUGUAAACCUGCUAAACAGAGGAUUCCAGAAAAAAGUUGUAAGUGGAGAAGAUAUGAAUAUAAAAAAUUCAACAAAAAUUGUUAAUUUAAGUAGAAAUAAAUAGAAAAGUUAUUAAAUUUCCUUGCAAAGAACUUAUGUAUAAGGAACUUAGGAAACAUUUACAAGUAAAAAAAAACACUAUACCUUUACUUUCAUCCUUGACUGUCAAUCUUUCAUCUGUCCAUUCCUGAACGAGAAGAAAGUUGAGGUGAAGUUCGUCACACCUCCCGAAAAUCAGAGUUACACGGGACAACGAAAUUUCGAUGUGGGUCGUCUCCUUAUUUUUCCUACCUGGUGGUGAACUGGCGUCAUAAUUGUACCAAUACUUUGUUUCCCACGUAUCUGACUCCUCGCCCAAUUUUAUUUCUGGCACUAAUGUGGACGCAGAUUUGACCAUUUCAUUGAACAUCAUCCCAAGGGUAAGGAGGAGGAUCAGUGAUACGAUCAUAAAUAAAAUUAAUGUGAGUCGUAUCAUUCUUGUUAAUGGUUUGGGUUCUUGUUCCGUGUUGUUGGACAUGGCAGCUGCUAGGAAAAUGGCUUCCAUCGGCUUAGCUUUUUAGUUCUUUAAGUGUAGGCAGUUAAUUAUAAUUUGUGAAAAUUUUAAUAAUAACUCAUAUAUGAAAGGAGGAUUUGUAUUUUUGUCGCAGAUAAAUUUAAAAGGAUGUUAAUAAUACACAAUUACACAUAUACACAAUUUGCAAUAUUAUUGAAAAAUGAUGUUUUACAAAUAUCAACUGCGAUGAUGUUUAUAAAUGUGGAUAUUUGUGGGGUUGAUGGUGCUCUGUAUGCGAGUUGUUUGUGUAAAAGAUGACUUGUUGAAGAAAGUUCCUCUACACAUGUUUAGCAGAAUGGAUUGUGUUUCGAAUUUAGAGAGAGAAGAAACGAACCAACCCGACUCCUCACUUUCUCCACUGCUUUCUCGGGUGUUAUUUUAUACUUUCGUAUGCAAGUUAUCCAUUGCAAAGAUACAUGGGGAAAACUAUUACACAUGUAAACACUUGAUAUUUGGGUUAUGAUCCUGAUUUUCGUGUUGCAUGUACUGGCACGUGCAAUUGUUGAAGUAUGGGAAAUUAGGUGUCAAAUCAAAGUAUAGGUUUUUCCUUGGGUUUUAUAAGAUUUUAGAUUACUAUUAAUUAGAUUUUCGAAUUCAGCAUAAAAUUCUGAGUAUUUAUAUGUGCCACUUGACUCUUGAAGGGCUAUUAUCAUAUUUAGCCGAUUUUCCUAUGCAUAUAUAUAAACAAGGUCCCAAAAAAGGGAUAUCUUGGUGAGUGAGGAUAGGCACAAUUAAAUACAUUUUUACUGUAGAAGGUUUGCAUCACCGGUCGAGUUAUACGAUACCCUGCUUGAGACAUGGUAACGAGCGUAACAAAACAGUCAUUUUUAAAAUUGACAUUAUACCUAUCGUCGAUUUCACUCCGAUCUUCAAAAUUCUUGAAACAUUAGAUGCACAACUACUUUGUGCAUCAUAAAAUCAGCGCUCGUGUCAAUACAUGUAGUCGACCGGAAGUAGGUCAAAAUUCAAUUUGAAAGUUUAGGAUCGAUUUUAAACAUGCUAUAUGUAAAGUUUUCAUACGUUUGAAAAAAAAGGACAGCAGCAAAUGGAAUUAUCUGCACGAUUGCUCUCUUGUAAAAUUUUGAUAAGUGUAGUCGUUUAGGCUGUAGAGCGCGGUCAAUUUCUGGAGGGGGUGUCUGUUUACAGACUGGGCUUCGCCGUAACCAUGAGUCAUACUUUUUGCCACAUUCAUGCUUACUUUUCGCUCAUAAGAAAAAAACAUUCUUUUGACUUGAAAGUUGAAGUCAUACAUGAAAAUGCUGAAGGGUUGGGUUUUCUAGAAAACAUCGGGGUUUUCCGAACCCUGGUACGUGGUCGGAAAGUAUCUGAACUGAAUAUGUACAAAUACAGAUACUUAUGUUGCUAUCCUAUCCAUAUUUAUGUUUCGGUUCAAAUUCUAUACACCUGAAAUUAUCAACUACAUACAUCAACAAUCCGUAAAAUUUAUCCGGUCAUACUAAUGCACAAUUUGUAUGGAAAAAUAUGCAUGCUAAAUUAUAUGUAUGUUGAAUUACCAGAUAAAAUUUCAAUUUAAUAUCUCGUACUUUUUUGACUGAUACAUAUAUUAUAUUUAUUUUUACCACAAUUGUAUUACUUUUUUAAUCCGUCUUAAUGAAGGCCCAAUGUUGUCCCACGUUACCGCAGUCGAGCCAAAACAACGUGCCGACCUCUGACCCGUAUGAUGUCAAACAUUUAUUUGUCCUUGGGUGGUUGAUUAUGUAAUACCCACUAUCUGGAAGGAUGGAGAGUUCUCUCUCCAUCAAGAAACAGAAGGGAGGAUAGUCAUCGUACGUGAUUUUGUUAACGAGAUGUCCCUCUUCGGGAACGAUGGAGUGGAGAGUCAUUAAUUCUUGGCCGGCUGGAAAUGAAGAAAAAUAUGCAUGAUUGUGGGUCAAUUACAUGUUGUAAUCAAUAAUAUUAAAAUUCCACACAUUGCUAACUACAUAUUUCUGCCACUGGGAGUAAGAAUGAGGGAAGAAUGGGAACCUAUACAUAUUUGUUUUAAGAAGCCUGGUGGUAAUUUAGGUUAAAAAAACCGAAAUAUAGAGGUUUAUUUUUUUUUACUUCUUUUUAAGAAAUUAAAAAACAGUACUGCCGAAAUAUUUAUGAGUGACUUUUAAUUAAUGAAUUUGACGUACUUAUGUGUUCCUGCUCUUACUAAAAUUGUUAAUUGUAGCUGUCCACUUGUACCGAUCGGCAUAUGGGGGUGUCAGUCUCCAAAUUGAGUCAAUAUCUGCGAGACGUUCGCACACCUUGCCGUAACCGUUGGGUCGAACAAUCUUUGCACAUAAUAUGGCAAAUAAAUAAAUAUAAAUACUCAAGCCUUUCAAUUAUGUGUAACUAUUCGGAUUAAAAAUUCUUACGCCACCACCAUCUCCAAUAUUUUGCAUGACAAAGACAUCCCCUUCUACGGGGAGGUAGGCGGAUGCGGAGAAUAUUAUUAGUUGUAGGUUGACGAGGAAUAUGACGAUUUUUUCCAUGUUUUCUAACACUUGGAGAAUAUGUAAUUCGUUGAUGGGAUGAGUUACAAAAUUGGACUGAAAACCUUAGUGUGAAGAAUGGUAUUUUAUCAGGCGUGAUAAUCAAGUGGUAAAAGAGUUGAUAAGGUUAUCGAGAACUCUCAAUGUCUACGUAAUACUUCAAUUGUUUUUCACUGGAAUAUAUACAAUCACAAAAACUGGGUGAUGAUUACCAUUAGCCACGAUAUUUAAACUCGAUCUUGCGUAACACAUCCCCAUAAGAUUUAUAGGCUCUUGUCUAACUGGGAAUUUCCCAAAUAUGUAUAUGGAUUAUGGUCUACUAAUAGUGAGCAAUUAGGGAUUUUGUCCAGGAAUGGUACUGCCACAUAUGUACAGUAUAUCUCAUAGUAAGUACUUGUAGAUUAAUUAAAAUAUUGUGAAUUCUACAUCUAGGUAUAUUUCACGAUGGCGAAAAAAGACGUAGAAAGCAUAAUAUGACGUAUUACAUGCUCUUGUUGUCAGAAAGAGAGAGGAAAUUGGUUGGUGAGUUCUCGUCUAGAAUUUUCACUAGUCUUCCAUACCUGGAUUUUGCAUACACGAAUGCAAAGAGUUACUAAUUUUGUUAAAUAGUUUUUGGAUAAGCAUGUAUUUAGGUUUUUCUUCUAAUACGAGAGCAUUUUUUUUGAAAUAACUAAUAAUUUUGGAGAGUUUUCUUACAACUUGUUUAACUUUCGUAACGCGAGCAGGUGUUGCAUGCGAGAACCGUCUGGUAUUAUAUAAAUUCGGGACAUGAAAUAUAUAUAUGAGUUGUAUACAUACAUGUCUCAUCUUAUCUCCAGUAUGAGAACAAGAGAUACCAAUAUACACGUGUGUGAAUUGUCUCAAUGUGCCUAAAUAUUGAGUUAAUCAAAGGUGUUGCAGCCUUCAUAAAUAAAUAUGUACAAAAUGAUGAUUAGAAGUGAAUAUUUUAAUAAAUAAAUUACAUUCAGAUUAUUAUUUAAAAAAUGAAUCCCCCAACCACGUACAUUCAGAUACAUAUUUUAUUUAUUGUUCAUAUGUACCACAUUAACUCUCUUUGUCAUGAGUACAUGUACAUAUGUAAAUAUGUAUCAAAUAUUUGAAAAUAGUUUUAAGAAGUAUCCAGUAAAUACUUUUUGAAAGUUUAAAAUUUUUAAACACGUGUGUGAGUCCUGCGCGUAGGUGCAAACUCUUAGCAAUUUUAUGUAUCAAUUUGUACAAUAAUUUAAUAAAUAUGUAAUUCUUAAAAGGCGACUACACUAAUAUUUUUUAGAACGCGUGUGUGUACAAUGAUGGCUAAUUACAUACCGUCCAAGAAAGUGACACAUUUGACGAUCAGGUAUAGAAAUUCUGCACAUUGUCUCCUUCCCGUCUGUUUUUACCUGCCAGACUCCAUUCCAGGUUAGUCUACGUGGCUAAAAUGAACAAUGCAUUUGUAAAGGGUUCGCCAAAAUAUGUAAGGCGAGUUGGUUUUUUUGUUCCCGUUUUGUUGCUUGAAUUUCUAACUGCACAUGAAAAGGAAACAGUCGUAAGUAAGUGUAUGCAAGUUCGUAAUAGUUUUGGGUAAACAAAAAAACUGAAAAAAUAUGGGCAUUCCAUGCAUCCCGAACCCUGCACGAUAAAAGUGCAUGUGACGCUUUUCUCCAGGCGACCAUCUUAAUCAUAAAACCAGGCUUGUCCUUCCAGUUUACUUUCACCCAUAGGUUUUCUUAAUAUUUCUGUCCGGUUUAGUUUUUAUAAUUUUUUUGAUUCAAGAUGUAAUUAUUAUUAAAGUUCAUCUUGAAAUUAUUUUGGGAUGUGUUUUUUUCUAAUUAAGUAUCGUAGUGUUAAAAAAAAUUAUUAUUAAAGUAUUUGGAAAAAGAAAUUCGUCUAUAUUCGUCACACUACCAUAUUGUAGUGUGAGGUUUUUAUAAUUUUAAAAUCUUUAUUCAUUUCAGUUUAAUUUUGGUUUAAUUAAAAGAAUAUAUUUAUCUUAAGCUUAGCGAAAUCAACUGUUAAUCAUACUCGAUCAACUUUUUAUCAUAUUUAAAUCCCAGCCAGCUUUAUUUAAGAUGCAGACUUAGUUUUAUAAAAGAUAUAUUAAAUCAAAAUGUCUACGGCCCCCGCCCCCCAGAAACCAACUGUACCACCUGAGGCCCCAAUAUCCGGCAGAUAUCCUAUGUUGGCAGCAUUGGUGAGAAAAUUUUUGGGGACGGGAGGUCCGCCAAGAUGCAGUGGGUGUGGAUGUGAUCCGGAUGGGAAUCCGGUUCCGGAAUCUUGGUGGGUCCGGAUCUUCUCCACGCUGCCUGGAUUUAGACAAAGUGUUCGCCCAGGUUUGAGCUCCUUGAUGAGGUAAUAUCAAAAUUGUUUUUUUCUAUGGCACGCGUCCCCUUAAAAUAAGCUAGAUCAGUAUAAAUGAUCAGAAAAUUUGACAUUAUUUGCUUUGAGGUGAAUAUCCAAUAAAUGGUUGCUAGGUUACCAUGGUGGUCUGCACUAAUUAAUAAGCAUAUUUUUUCUGUUCUUAUUUCUUGUGUCUAAUUUUUUUAAAGUCAUCCAUUUGUUUUUUAUGUUAUUGAAAAAAGGAAUUCAUCAAGUUAUAAAUGGGGAAUAAUAAUUUGCAAUACAUAUUUUAUUUAUUUUGCCACAGGCAACUUUAAAUUAUGCUUAAAUAAUUUUAUGCCGAGACUUAUCGCAAGGAAAAUACAAUAUAUAUAUACUCAUCCGGAGAGAUUAAAGUUGCUUGGGAGAUUGCUUGUUGGGUGGUGGUGACAAUUAUUUUUUCGUGCAAAAUUUUAGAAAUAUCAAGCACGAAUUUUGGGAUUUUCAUCAAAAACGGCAUUUGUUUGAAAUCAAAUUCACGAAAUUGCAUUGACAAAUUUUAAAUACUUCAAAAGCCUUUACUUUAACAAUUUUUAUUGACAAAUUUAUUGAAUUUUAUGCAAAUUGGAAGAAUUUUAAUGCACGGUCUAUGAGUACAUAUAACGAAAACUAUUUGAAUCUACAGGACCCGAUCUGUUAGUUAUUAGCUAUUAGUUAGCUAGCACAAUUCAAUACUUUUAACACGAAAAUACUAUUUUUUAAUCAGUUCAGUGGAAAAGGAUAUACACAGUAUACCCUUAUACAUACACAGUCAUAGUAUACACAGUCAGGGUAUACACAGUAUUGCAUGAUAAAAAAAUAUCGUAUACAUUAUGUCAUCAAUCAGAAAUUUCUAAUAUCACAUUGCUUCACAAAAGAUGCAUCGCAGAAAAAAACUCUCAACACAAUGGUGUAAAAAAAUGUCCAUAAACUAGCUUGACUAGCAAAAUGAGUUUACACAUUGACCACCCCCUUCAGUUCCUUCCCUGGGGUGAGUGUUCCUAGAUAAAAUGCCGGCGACGUUCCCGAGUUAAACGGAUACGCUGAAUGAGGAAGGUCUUGGCCACAACCUUCACUGCGGAGAUCAAUCCUCGAUGAGGUGAGGAUCUUCCUGCACCCACACUCUUGUGAUUUCCAUUGCGACGUGGAUUAAGAGGAAGCAGUCACGGAGAUAUUUCUUCUACUCUCCAUCGGGUUUCUACGCGGCUGCUCCCAGUCGUUUAGUUGUUGAAGCGUCGCUCCCUUCGCAGCAUAAUCUCGAGUAGGCCUUUGGUUUGGAGACCUUGAUUAGAUCCUCCUCGCCCUUUGCCCAAGGUUGAGGAACAAAAGAUCCUUGAGAAUUUGCUACGCCGCGAUUCCCGAUGGAAGUAGUUAGGGGAAACCGUAUGGUUCAGUAUUUGGACAUGACGCCCCGCGUGACAAGGCGAAUGACCCCCUAUGCAUUUCAUAACUUGGCCUUCACUUUCUAAUCCAAUUGUUGUUGUUGUCGUUCUACCGAGAUUUGUGGGGAUGGUACUGUUGGCGGAGAGGUGGGCGGGGAAACACUCUUUGGCUUGAUUACCAAUGCUUGAGUCACUGAUGGGGAUUAGUCCCACCUCCGAGCAGGACGCAGUGUACAGGUUUAUUAUAUGUGACUUGCGGAUCGUAGUGGCGGGGUAGAGCUCAUAAUAUUUUUGGGGCACAAAAUUCGGCACUUUCGUGCACAAUUUUAGUAUGUAUUUUCCACAAACCUUAACUAGCCCUAAAAUAUUUAAUAUAUUUACAUUUUUUAUUUGGCGGUACAUGUGUACACAUAGUGGAGUCUCUUCCAGCUGGCAAAACUCUCGACAAGAUUUACCACUUGUAGAUUUUCCUUGAGUUUUAAGUUAGGUUUUCUAAGUUAAGGUGUGGAGUGAACAUUUCUUAUUUAUUUACGUAUGAAAAACGUUUUGUAUGAUCGUCCAUGAACAUUCUAAAACUUCAGAAAAAAAUGAUUUAGUUCUAUUCACAUUCUGUAAUUUAUUUCUAUCCGUCCUACGAAGAAAAUCUAAACCUUUGUAAGGAAAUUCUGAAAUUGCGCACAAAAAAGUGUUAAAUUUUGUAUGGUAUGCAAAUAAUAUGCUCGUAAACGAAAAUUAUUUUAAUAUUUUCCAUGAAAAAUCAUGAAGUUUGAAUAAAACUUUUAAGUCUCGCGUGAAAAUUCCGCAAAAGUUAUGGGUGAAACUUAUUAAACUAGGCGUCAAAAUUCUCAAAUCUUUCAAAAAAAUUAUUAUACUUAACUGACAUGACCACUGCAAGCCAUCCAGCGAAAAUUUUGCAUGAAUUAUGAUGUCAAAAUUUAUUUGGCACCAACCACGCAUGAAAAUAUUCUCCGAGAUUAAAAAUAUGAUGGUGAGUAAACCGUCAGAAUAUGCUUGACCGAUCGCCAUAUUACGAUUUGAACAAAUUCAUACAAACAUUUAUUAGGGUAAAAUUCAUAAAAUAAAAAAAUUAUAGUAAUGAGUAAUAUCUCAUUUGACAAUAAAUGAGAACUUUAAAGUGUGUAUCAGACGCUACAUAGAAAAAAUAUAACGUUCUGGACGAGAUUUUCUUAGUUUAAGUUUUAUGUCCUAUUCUCCGUAAAUUUCGAAAAAACUACAUACCUAACAAUUUGUCACCAUUUGUACGUGUUGGUUGACAAAUGAUAUUUUUUUUAUAAAUUUUUGACACAACCAAUAAAAAAAUAUGUACAGAAUAUGUAUAUACGGUGUAUGUACAUACGAAAAUAUUACUGAUUGUAAUUUUGUUUCAUAUUUUUCAGACAUGUAACAAAUACACGAUUGAUGAAUGAUGGGGAGCAAAUGUUGAAGGGAAUUUUUUUGUAAUUGGACGGAAAUAAACUUUUCUGGAUUAAUUUUAUUCGAAAAUACAUCUGUGGUUUACACCUGAAUAAAUAAAAUAAGCUGUGAAAACUUAUUACAAUUUUUUUGUGAGUAUAUAUAAUAACAUGUAUGUACGGUUAGUCUUGCAUGCUUUCAUAUUUACAAGAAAUGAGACAAAACAAUCUAAAUAGGUACAUGGAUUAAUAAUUUUCAUAUUUUUGCUCACCACAAUAAUUUUAAGUAAGUAGGUGGGAUAUUUAUUUAUUUGUAGAUCUAUUAAGAACUAAAGAUAUGUAAGGAUGCCGAGGCAUAAGAAAUCAUUUUAAAGAUAAAUAUGUACACUACACUCUGAAUAAUUUUUGAGAAGAAGGAUUAUCUCCUCUGGAGGUACAUACUGUGAAUGUGUACCGUGUUAGUAACAAUUUAUCAAUGGAAACUGUCUCCAGUCUGUGAUAUUUUUACUCCCAGAGCGUUGAUAUUAUGGUACCGCUGGGUGAUAAAAUAUCAUGGAAGGAAUUUGUCAUUUCCCGUUGAUAAAUUGUAGGGUUGCCGGUGAGAUGAGACGAGACAGUAGGAAAAUGAAAUGUCAUGUGAGACCGCCAAAAUGAGAUGAGAUGAGACGAGACGAACUAAGCAGCAAUUAUCUCAUCUCGUCUCAUCUCAUUACAGGAUAAUGAGAUGAGAGACAACUUUGACUAUCUCAUUUAAGUUUCAUCCCAUCUCACCAAGUAGUGAGAUGAGACGAGAGGAGGUCCGGGGAGAGGUGAUCUUUCUAAAAAAAAAUUAUUUUCCAUGCAUAUAUUUAUCAUUACCAAAUCAUGAGACAUUAUUUAUAGUUCUGAAGGAAUAAAAUUGACCAAUUUCAUCUUCCCCUUGAAUUUUUGUGACGCACUAACAAUUACGUAAGGCUGGUAGGGACACCAGGUAUUGUUCUUCAAACUUGAAACACUUCUCAUGGAAAUAUUUGUGGGUACUUGUUUAAUUCUGUAACAAUGCUCAUUAACCUAAAAAAAUUGAUUGUUUUAAAUAUUUGCAAUAAAUGCAAAUUUGUAUAAUAGUGAUUUUUAAAAAAUUCAAUGAUCGGUACGACAUUCUCGUUGAAAGUCGUGAAGGUUGCGUUCCUCAUUUAGGAGACAAACAUAAAGCAUGUGACAAAAUCUAUGGGUUUUAUGGCUAAGUUUAAAUUGAUUUAAUUUGAUGACACCCUUACUUGUAGGUGUGAGAGACAAGCAAUUGUAGAAUUUAAACAAAUUUGUAAGAAAAUAAUUGCACGAUUGGAAUUCCCACGUCACAUAAGGCCUUGGCACCUACCUGUGCAUUGUUUCGAAAAGCUUUAAAAUGUUUGGGGGCAGAGAAAUUGUUCUCAUUGUAUCCUCAGUUGUCAACCUUGAUCAAUAAUUUUGUAUCGACUUACCCCCCAAUAAAAUCCCUUGUAAACAAUCAUGUCUACCCACAUGGUCAUACUCCCCCUCGUUAUUUUGGGCAUGACAGUGGCCUCGUCAAUGGCCGGCCUAUCGGCGCAGGCUUACUUUGAUCGGUAUCAUAAGGAGAUUUUUGAAGGGGCGAAAUGUAACGCGGGGUGGAUCGAGUUGUCGCAAAGGGUGCAAGAUGCGGCACAUCGUUGUGCUAAGAAGGAAGUGAUGGGUAGCUACCUGGUGAGUUUAAAUUUGGCGCAUUUUUCAUACCAGGCAAAAAUGUGGGAUUAGCUGAAAAAACUAGUUUUUCACUGAUACCUACUGGUAGUAAGGUUUGAAUUUUCUCAAUUCAAACUUAGCACCGAAAGAAAUCUCACUUUACACAGGAUUUCCAAUCUUAACUAAUUUUUCUCACUUUACCCCAGUGUUUCUUGACCUGUGUGUCCCGCGAGUACGAGUACAUCACGCCGGGAACCACGCACGAUUUGGACAUGGGAAUGGCCGACCUCGUAGCGAUGGAGUCCUUCAACACGUCAACCCGAACAGGUCGCGAUUCUUACUUCAAAGUCUCGCUGAAACGAUACCACUGCGCCGAAGAGUUUGUCGUCGGAGAGGGAAAGAAGGUCGUCUUGGCGAUGAAAUACGAUGUCGCGGAGGAUUGUGAGACAGCCAGAGCAUUCUUCACGUGCACAUGGCCGACUCUGACUUGUGACAAAUACAAUAUCAAGGAAGAAACUACAGAAUAAUGGACCACGAGAUUUUCGACGGUUUGAUGGGUAGAGGUUUAAAACAUGUACGGGAUAAAUAUAUUAAUGUAAACCUAAAUAUCCGAGUUUUAAAUAAAUGUUUGGUUUGGUGGUCAAGAUA
This is an RNA transcript of Folsomia candida, 14077 nucleotides long. RefSeq lists it as uncharacterized. NCBI's taxonomy places the organism in Eukaryota, Metazoa, Arthropoda, Collembola, Entomobryomorpha, Isotomidae. The transcript has 3 exons. The record is from RefSeq and is a predicted model, not a curated record.